RNAcentral lists this ribosomal RNA (377 nucleotides) under uncultured bacterium. Its description in RNAcentral is "bacterial SSU rRNA". It matches the Rfam family "Bacterial small subunit ribosomal RNA", at positions 521 to 896 of the family's 1533-position model. The record is from RNAcentral.
UAAAACGUAGGGGGCGAGCGUUAUCCGGAGUUACUGGGCGUAAAGGGUGUGUAGGCGGUGCUAUAAGUGGGGUGUGAAACACUCAGGCUAAACCUGGGAGGUGCGCCUCAGACUGUAGGACUAGAGUGGGAUAGAGGGGCGUGGAAUUCCGGGUGGAGCGGUGAAAUGUGUAGAGAUCCGGAGGAACACCAGAGGCGCAAGCGGCGCCCUGGGUCCCAACUGACGCUGAAACACGAAAGCUUGGGGAGCGAACGGGAUUAGAGACCCCGGUAGUCCAAGCCGUAAACGAUGCAAACUCGAUGUCCACUCUCGCAAGAGAGGGGGCGUCACAGCUAACGCGAUAAGUUUGCCGCCUGGGGAGUACGGUCGCAAGACUA